RNAcentral lists this ribosomal RNA (266 nucleotides) under uncultured Staphylococcus sp. Its description in RNAcentral is "partial 16S ribosomal RNA". It matches the Rfam family "Bacterial small subunit ribosomal RNA", at positions 96 to 354 of the family's 1533-position model. Lineage: Bacteria; Bacillati; Bacillota; Bacilli; Caryophanales; Staphylococcaceae. The record is from RNAcentral.
CGGCGGACGGGUGAGUAACACGUGGGUAACCUACCUAUAAGACUGGGACAACUUCGGGAAACCGGAGCUAAUACCGGAUAAGAUAUCGAACCGCAUGGUUCGAUAGUGAAAGAUGGUUUUGCUAUCACUUAUAGAUGGAUCCGCGCCGUAUUAGCUAGUUGGUGAGGUAACGGCUCACCAAGGCAACGAUACGUAGCCGACCUGAGAGGGUGAUCGGCCACACUGGAACUGAGACACGGUCCAGACUCCUACGGGAGGCAGCAGAU